AUACGGAGGGUGCAAGCGUUGUUCGGAAUCACUGGGCGUAAAGGGCGCGCAGGCGGUUUGAUUAGUCAGAUGUGAAAGCCCACGGCUUAACCGUGGAAGUGCAUUUGAAACUGUCAGACUUGAGUAUCAGAGGGGAAAGUGGAAUUCCCGGUGUAGAGGUGAAAUUCGUAGAUAUCGGGAGGAAUACCGGUGGCGAAGGCGACUUUCUGGCUGAAUACUGACGCUGAGGCGCUAAAGCGUGGGGAGCAAACAGGAUUAGAUACCCCAGUAGUCC
Molecule: ribosomal RNA, 274 nt
Filed under: uncultured bacterium
Lineage: Bacteria
Description: partial 16S ribosomal RNA
Rfam family: Bacterial small subunit ribosomal RNA
Source: RNAcentral